AUGCAUCCUCCUCCAAAGCCGCUGCUCCUCCUCGCGGUGCUGCUCGCCGCCUCACCGCAUGCGCUGGCGGAGCAGCCACCGGCGGCAGCCGCCUGCCCGCCGCAGGAGCGGGACGCGCUGCUGGCCUUCAAGCAAGGGAUCACCAUCAGCAGCGACGCCGCCGGCCUCCUCGCCUCAUGGCGCGAAGACGACUGCUGCCGGUGGAGGGGCGUCCGGUGCAGCAACCGGACCGGCCAUGUCGUCGCGCUCAACCUUCGAGGCCAGGGACUAGCCGGCGAGAUAAGUCCAUCCUUGCUCUCCCUGCCGCACCUGGAGCAUCUUGAUCUCAGCUCCAACCGCCUCGUGGGCCCGGCUGGCAGUAUUCCCGAAUUUCUGGGUUCCAUGGGAAACCUGAGAUAUCUCGACCUAUCCGGAGCGCCGUAUUCUGGGGAAGCGCCGUUUUCUGGCCAAGUGCCUCCCCACCUUGGCAACCUCUCCAAGCUGCAACAUCUUGACCUCUCAAGCAAUAGAAAUGUGUCCUCCAACGAUCUUUCCUGGUUAACACGUCUGCCAUUCCUAAGGUUUCUCGGCCUGAAUUUCGUGGACCUGAGUAUGGCGGCUGAUUGGGCUCAUGCGGUGAACGCCCUUCCUUUGAGGUCCCUUCAUCUUGAAGAUUGCUCGCUCACAAGUGCGAACCAAUCACUCCCACACUCAAACCUUACCACGACUCUUGAGGUGCUCGACCUUGCUCUCAACAACUUUGACCAGCCAGUCGCGUCUUGUUGGUUCUGGAACCUAACAAGACUCAAGCGGCUCUACCUUGAAGUUAACAACGGCGCCCUGUAUGGUCCGCUUCCUGAUGCAUUGGGGGGUAUGGUACGCUUGCAAGAACUAUCCUUCGGAGAGAGUGGCAGCCACAUGAUGAGCAUGGGCUCGGCAGACUUGAAGAACCUAUGCAACUUGAAGUUCCUAGACCUUGACUUUUGUUUCUCAAAUGGAUUUGAAGCGGAGAGGCUCCCGCAAUGUUCCUCGGACAAAUUGCAGGAAUUGCACCUGAUGGGAAACCAAUUGACAGGAACUCUAGCGGAUUGGAUGGGACACCGCACCAGCUUAGUCAUUCUUGAUCUCAGUUCAAACAACAUUACUGGGCCUAUACCGGAAUCUAUAGGGCGGUUUACAGAUUUGAGGGUUCUAGACCUUUGGAACAACAACCUGACUGGACAUGUGCCACCUGCAAUCGGUACUCUCACUAAUUUGGCUAGCUUGGUUCUUGGUCAGAAUCACUUGGAUGGUCUGAUUACAGAAGGACACUUUCAUGGUCUAAAAAGCUUAGAGCAAAUAUAUUUAUCUGACAAUCAACUGGAGAUUGUGGUGGGUUCAGAAUGGGUUCCUCCCUUCAGACUGCAAGAGGCCAGUUUUGCAUCUUGCCAGAUAGGUCAUCUGUUUCCUGCAUGGCUUAAGUGGCAAGUGGGUCUUACUCGCCUUGACAUCUCAAGCACAGGAAUAACAGAUAGGUUUCCAGAUUGGUUCUCCAGUUCCUUCUCAAAGAUCACAUACUUGGAUAUCUCCAAUAACCGAAUAAGUGGUGCCUUGCCAAAAAAUAUGGGUAACAUGUCAUUGGUAUCACUAUAUUCUAGUUCGAACAAUAUAUCUGGUAGAAUACCUCAAUUGCCCAGAAAUCUAGAGAUAUUGGACAUAUCAAGAAACUCUUUAUCAGGACCCCUGCCAUCAGAUUUUGGGGCUCCAAAACUAAGUACAAUAAGUCUAUUCUCCAAUUACAUCACAGGUCAAAUUCCAGUGUUUGUAUGCGAACUGUACUUGUAUUCCUUGGAUUUAGCCAACAAUAUUCUCGAAGGAGAACUUCCUCAAUGUUUCAGCACAAAACACAUGACAUUUCUAUUGCUAAGUAACAAUAGUUUCUCUGGCAAUUUUCCACCGUUUCUAGAAAACUGCACAGCGCUAUCCUUUUUGGAUCUGGCAAGGAACAGAUUCUCUGGAACAUUGCCAAUGUGGAUUGGGAACUUGGGGAAACUACAGUUUCUACGGCUGAGCAACAACAUGUUCCACGGGCAUAUUCCGGAUAAUAUCACAAGUCUCAGCAAACUUUAUCAUUUGAAUCUGGCGGCCAAUGGGAUAUCAGGUUCCAUACCUCAUCAUCUAUCAAAUCUAACAAUGAUGACAACACCAUAUGUACACGUUCCUGGCACCGUCGUUGCAGAUUUCCAAAUUAUGGUUGGUGAUAUGCCAGUAGUCUUCAAGAGGCAAGAACUUAAAUACAGAGGUGUUGGUGUUUUGGAGAUAUUGAGCAUUGACUUCUCUUGCAACUAUUUAACCGGUAAAAUUCCAGAGGAAAUAACGUCUCUUGGUGGAUUGAUAAACCUGAACUUGUCAUGGAAUCAACUGAAUGGAGGGUUACCUAAGAAGAUUGGGGACAUGCAGACGUUGGAGUCACUUGACUUCUCGAACAAUGAUAUUUCAGGAGAAAUUCCGUCAAGCUUGUCGAAUCUAACAUACUUGAGCAUUCUGGACCUGUCAUAUAAUCAUCUAGCAGGAAUAAUACCAUCAGGAGUUCAACUUGACACUCUUUACACGGAGUAUCCAUCCAUAUACAAUGGCAACCCUGGCCUUUGUGGUCCCAUCCUUCAUAAAAGUUGCUCAGUCAACAAUAAUGCACCACAGCCUGACCAUCAACAGAGUGGAAAAGUUUCGGAGUCGACAUUGUUCUUUUACUUUGGACUUGGGUCAGGGUUUAUGGCUGGCCUCUGGGUUGUGUUUUGUGCUCUGCUCUUCAAGAAAGCAUGGAGGAUUGCUUAUUUCUGCUUCUUUGACAAGGUGCAUGACAAAGCCUAUGUGUUCAUAGUUGUCACUUGGGGCAGGUUUGCCAGGAAAAGGUAA
RNAcentral lists this ribosomal RNA (2874 nucleotides) under Triticum aestivum (bread wheat). RNAcentral describes it as "partial small subunit ribosomal RNA". Lineage: Eukaryota; Viridiplantae; Streptophyta; Magnoliopsida; Poales; Poaceae. The record is from RNAcentral.